RNAcentral lists this unclassified non-coding RNA (674 nucleotides) under Hevea brasiliensis (rubber tree). The record is from RNAcentral. Lineage: Eukaryota; Viridiplantae; Streptophyta; Magnoliopsida; Malpighiales; Euphorbiaceae.
GAAAAUUUCAAUAGAAAAUUUAAUUGUAUUACAUUGCAUUACAUCCUACCAAAUGUAAGAAUUGUUGUUUUCUUAUCUCUUUAAGGAGAAACUUGGACUCUCAAGGGACAAGCCCACUAAAUUAAACUAAGAAAUUCAAAGCUCAUAUUCCAUAUGUCUAAUACUCCAGCAUACAGCAUCAAACAAUCAUACAUGGCAGAAAAUAGCAUAAAAAGACUAGUACAAGGAUCAACAAUAUUACCUUUACCUAUGUAAUCUAACCCCCAAAACUAAUACUAAUGCAUUCAAUAGCUCAAAACCACAUCAAAUCCUUAACGGCUAAAAAGAACCAGCAGCCAUCAAACAACCAAGCUUCAAUCAAAUUCCAAGUACUGCAAUGGCUAACAGAUCAAAUCAUACGCCGAAAUUUAGAAAACAAGAUAGCAAAACUAAUUAAUCCUUGGAUAUGGAGGAGAUAUCCAGAUUAAGCAACUAAAUCAACAAAAUCCAGCUAUUAAUAUCCAACCAAAACAAAAAUCAAUACACAUCUAUUACCGAACUUAAAUUACCAAAUCCAUUAUAAAAACGCAUUAUAAAAAACCUAAUCACCACCAGCUUUAUUGUAAACGUAAGUCAAGCCACACUUGCCGCAGUAGUGCCUAUCAAAAUGGUUGGCCAUGAAAGUCCCAGCUCCA